GAAGCUGGUUCUACCCUGACGUCCUGUGGCUCCGAGGUGGGCAGCACCAUUCCUGGGCUCCCAGAGCCUGCAGGUUCAGUGCAUGGCCUCCAGAACUCUCC
Molecule: non-coding RNA, 101 nt
Organism: Canis lupus familiaris (dog)
Lineage: Eukaryota; Metazoa; Chordata; Mammalia; Carnivora; Canidae
Source: RefSeq, marked provisional